UGGGGAAUAUUGCACAAUGGGCGGAAGCCUGAUGCAGCAACGCCGCGUGCGGGAUGACGGCCUUCGGGUUGUAAACCGCUUUCGCCUGUGACGAAGCGUGAGUGACGGUAAUGGGUAAAGAAGCACCGGCUAACUACGUGCCAGCAGCCGCGGUGAUACGUAGGGUGCGAGCGUUGUCCGGAUUUAUUGGGCGUAAAGGGCUCGUAGGUGGUUGAUCGCGUCGGAAGUGUAAUCUUGGGGCUUAACCCUGAGCGUGCUUUCGAUACGGGUUGACUUGAGGAAGGUAGGGGAGAAUGUAAUUCCUGGUGGAGCGGUGGAAUGCGCAGAUAUCAGGAGGAACACCAGUGGCGAAGGCGGUUCUCUGGGCCUUUCCUGACGCUGAGGAGCGAAAGCGUGGGGAGCGAACA
This 407-nucleotide ribosomal RNA is filed under the name uncultured bacterium. RNAcentral describes it as "partial 16S ribosomal RNA". It matches the Rfam family "Bacterial small subunit ribosomal RNA", at positions 355 to 774 of the family's 1533-position model. The record is from RNAcentral.